This is a ribosomal RNA of 1401 nucleotides. It matches the Rfam family "Bacterial large subunit ribosomal RNA", at positions 1521 to 2925 of the family's 2925-position model.
AAGUCUGGUAGGACGUUAAAGGCGGCCAACCGUUAGGGACAAGUUGUGAUGGGGAGGGAAAUUUAAGUACCGAAGUUUCUGAUGUCACACUGCCAAGAAAAGCUUCUAGGGAAAAAGACAGCACCCGUACCGCAAACCGACACAGGUAGUUGAGGAGAGAAUCCUCAGGUGAGCGAGCGAACUCUCGUUAAGGAACUCGGCAAAAUGACCCCGUAACUUCGGGAGAAGGGGUGCUGACCGUAUGGUCAGCCGCAGUGAAUAGGCCCAAGCGACUGUUUAUCAAAAACACAGGUCUCUGCAAAAUCGAAAGAUGACGUAUAGGGGCUGACGCCUGCCCGGUGCUGGAAGGUUAAGAGGAGAGGUUAGCCAUUAGGCAACGCUUUGAAUUGAAGCCCCAGUAAACGGCGGCCGUAACUAUAACGGUCCUAAGGUAGCGAAAUUCCUUGUCGGGUAAGUUCCGACCCGCACGAAAGGCGUAACGAUUUGGGCACUGUCUCAACGAGAGACUCGGUGAAAUUAUAGUACCUGUGAAGAUGCAGGUUACCCGCGACAGGACGGAAAGACCCCAUGGAGCUUUACUGCAGUUUGAUAUUGAGUGUUUGUGUGACACGUACAGGAUAGGUAGGAGCCUAGGAAACCGGAACGCCAGUUUCGGUGGAGGCAGUGGUGGGAUACUACCCUUGUAACAUGACCACUCUAACCCGCAUCUCUGAUCGAGAUGGGAGACAGUGUCAGACGGGCAGUUUGACUGGGGCGGUCGCCUCCUAAAGAGUAACGGAGGCGCCCAAAGGUUCCCUCAGAAUGGUUGGAAAUCAUUCGCAGAGUGUAAAGGCAGAAGGGAGCUUGACUGCGAGACAGACAAGUCGAGCAGGGACGAAAGUCGGGCUUAGUGAUCCGGUGGUUCCGCAUGGAAGGGCCAUCGCUCAACGGAUAAAAGCUACCCUGGGGAUAACAGGCUUAUCUCCCCCAAGAGUUCACAUCGACGGGGAGGUUUGGCACCUCGAUGUCGGCUCAUCGCAUCCUGGGGCUGUAGUCGGUCCCAAGGGUUGGGCUGUUCGCCCAUUAAAGCGGUACGCGAGCUGGGUUCAGAACGUCGUGAGACAGUUCGGUCCCUAUCCGUCGCGGGCGUUGGAAAUUUGAGAGGAGCUGUCCUUAGUACGAGAGGACCGGGAUGGACAUACCUCUGGUGUACCAGUUGUCGUGCCAACGGCACAGCUGGGUAGCUAUGUAUGGUUGGGAUAAGCGCUGAAAGCAUCUAAGCGUGAAGCCCCCCUCAAGAUGAGAUUUCCCAUCUUUUUAAAAGAGUAAGAUCCCUGAGAGACGAUCAGGUAGAUAGGCUGGAAGUGGACAUUUAGUGAUAAAUGGAGCGGACCAGUACUAAUCGAUCGAGGACUUAUCCAA